This 1351-nucleotide long non-coding RNA is filed under the name Homo sapiens (human). Its description in RNAcentral is "HSALNT0216641". The record is from RNAcentral. Lineage: Eukaryota; Metazoa; Chordata; Mammalia; Primates; Hominidae.
CUGAGAAGGGAGGGACACAGCCGUGCUUCCAGCAUUCCUCUUCCAUGAUUUAAAGUGGAAAGUCGCAUCAGACGCCCCAAGUCUCUGCCCUUGACUUGAAAGAAAGAGACCAGUGCCACUAGGAGGGCCAGGUGGCCAAAGCCACCUGCCUCUGAAGCUUUUCAAGGGAAGUUGUUCCUCCAGUUCUGCCAAGGACGACGUGUCUCUAAACAUCAGUCAGUUAAUAUUUUGCGAGUCACAAAUUCUGCAACGAAGUGACAUAAAGGGAUAGCUUUUCUCUCCCACAGCAGUGACCGGUCAGAGACCACUGGAGCAGAGUAAUGAGAAUGGCUGAAGGAGACACCUGGGGAUGCUUGAAGCUGCCCCCCGGAGCACGGUCCAGACACCUCCACGCAGAGGCUCGUAGAUAACAAAAGCUACAAGGACGACCUUCGCCUGAUAAAAGGCCACCACGGCCAGCCUGCAGCAAGCCUCAAGCUUCCCGCGAAACUCCAGAUGCAGUCCCAUUAAAGUGGAAAACAGGGAGUUGACUCUCUCAUAGCCAUCACUCAGCAUGGUCUGAUGAUCUAGCCAAUGUUACAGGCCAAGAUGGAAAAAGAGGAGUGAGGAUUGGAAAGGAGGAGACAUACAUUUUCAUAUUUUUGGGGUAGACAAUAUAACUUUCUGCAUAAAAUUUUCUAAGAAUUUACAAUGAGAGCUAAUGAGGUUUAAUAUAAGAAGAUAUAAAAGUCCACAGCAUGGCUAUGCAAUAGCCAACACUAAUUGGAGACUGUAAUAGAAAAAACACACCAUUCGCAAUAGCAAUAAAACACUGAGGUAUUUAGAAAUAAGUAUAAUAAAGAUGUGGGACAUCUUAAAUGAGAAACUAAUACAAUUUUAUUAAGGGCUAUAGACAAAGAUUUAACUAAUUGGAAGGCUACAUCAUGAAUGCAAAAACUCAGUUUCAAAUGUUCUGUUUUCCUGUAAAAUAAUCAAUAAAUUAAAUGCAAUUUCAUUCAAAUCCUAGCAGCAUUUUCUCCUGGCACCUGAUAAGGUGGAUUAUUCCUUCACAUGGAAUAGCAAAGGACCAAAGAUGGUGAAGACAGGUUUGAAGAAGAAGCAGAGGGUAGAGAUGUUUUCUCUAACAAAUAGCCAGCGAUUUCCUCUAGUUUUGAUAAAGACUAUUCAAGAAUAAACAGAUCAGCAGAACAGAACAGAAAGGCAAAAGCAGACCUGCACGGAGUGGAAACCUGCUGUGCACCACAGGGAUCCAUACGUCAACAGGAAUGGGGGUUUGUUGGUCAAAUGCCACUGAUAGAAAGGUAAAAUAUUCACAUUAUUAUCUAACACUGCACCGGUAAUAAAGCUCAGA